ACAACAAGCGACACAACGCAAAACGUUUAUAAAUGGAAUCGAAAGGUAAAAACAAAACUUUACAGGCAUUAGAAAGAUUUAGAACAUAUAGGCACUGGAGGUAUUUAAAGUUUUGUAAAAAACCUGGAACACAAAAAUGGAAUCCGGAAUCCGGGGGAAAAAACCCACAUGUAAUCCGGAAUCCACACACUAGGAUCCGGAAUCCACACACUAGGAUACGGAAUCCAGAACCCUAUUGGAGAACCUGUCAUGGGGCGAUACAGUGCUCUAUGAGAAAUACCUGCUAACCUUUUAGGUGAGGAGUGUAGGGAAUACAUUGGAGGUAGAAGGAAGAAAAUAAUGAUGAUAGAGUUUGUUAGUGAUGUUGCUUUUGUUGGCUUAAAAAUGUUAUAAGUGUAUGGGUGCCCCAGUCCCUCACUCUUCUCCAUGCCACCUGGCAUCCAUGAAUUGGCUUUCUUCCUUGACUUUAAUCCUCAAAUUAUAAUUAAGAUUCUCAAGUAUACACUAUCAAAUAUAAACACACGCUAUUGUUAGCUGUUCAUGUGGGCAACAAAAACAAAUUUUGAUAAUUAUCAUAAGGAAGAUUGAUUAUAACAAUUUUACAGAUGGCAGCACAUAAGGCAAUCAUUUAAAUACCCUUUUCUGCUUUUUCGUUGCAAGUUCUUACUAUUAGUGUGUUCGGUGCAUACUCAGUGUACUUAAGGCAUGGGCCUAGUGACAAAAAUAUAGAAAAAUCGAAAAAAAAAUUGCAAAACAAAAAUACAAGCGUUUUGAUUUUUAAGGUUAUACACUGUACCAAGAUGGUCCAAAUGAGAAAAAUUGUUGUCAUGCCAACCGUUCAUGUGAUCUGCAACCGUCAAAAAUUGGCGCCAAAACAUAAACAUGUCGAUUCUCCUAGCUUAAAGCCCCCCAAAAAUGUUCAUAAUUGGCCUAGAAACUUGUCGUAUGUUAUUAAACAGGUUGACAAUUUGGAUGGGUGAACAUGUUCUAGUACUUAGCUAUAAAAAUAAAGAAUACAAAAAGCUCGUAAUUUGCUGUGAUUAGGCAAAAUACAAAAAAAAUUAUGAUUACUUGCACAUCCAUCCAAAUUGCAUUUACAAAUUAUAACAUAUAAUCAAGACCUUGUUAAAGUCAGGGAUUCGAUAAACACAGAUUCAUCUGGCGCAACCGGAGUUUUAUUUAUUCGUUGUUUUCCUUUCUGUUGAGACGCCAUCUUGAAUUGCGCCGUGUGUCUAUAUAAAGAUUGUCAGCGGAUGACGCUUGAAAAAUAGACUUUUAAAAUGGCGGACGAACUGUCCUCUGUAGCACCAUGUAGCACAAUUUACCGUCUUUGUUGUACAGGAAAUAACAAAAACACAGAGGUGCUUAGGUAACAGGCAGUCACUAAGAGCACGUCAGUGAGACAGGCUAGCCCUUUCGAAUGAAAGUACAAACGCAGCGGAAGAAAGACAUGCAGAGGCAAAAAUGAAACAAAGGAAAAAAAAAUCACAUUGGAGACAUCACAAACAUGACAUGGGACAAGGCUUCAAUGGAAAAGGAAGUAGAGACACCACUUUCAAUUGGAGUGUUCUGGCAAAGAAUUAUAAUGGGCUAAUAAAAAAUGGAGAGCCUGCAAAAAAUGGCGGCCAAAUACUACAUCAGUACCUCAUUGAUGCAGGAGUGAAUGUAAAAAGAUUCAAGAGAAGGCACGAGGAACGCAGUGAAGGCAGAAUUAGAAGAAACUACGUGGCUUAGGAGGGGAGAUUUAUCUUCUAACUCCUGAAACUAACCAACAGCUACUAAGUGCUGUACGCAAAAAAAUUGAGAAAGAAGAUGGGGAAAAGAAGAGAAGAUGGGGACUAUACGAUUGGAAAGCUUAUUAUACCCCACAAGUACAAGAAGAUUGUUAUGAACAAAGAAGGCAAAAUCCACACCAAUGACUUUGUAGUUUAAGGAAGAAAAGUCCCUCUAGAUGAAAUAAGGAAAGCUUCCUUGAAAAUGCACCAGGAAUUUAUUAGGUACAGGCCUGAUGAGUCAUACAGCACAAAGACUGUGCGAGCUGAAGGAGUUUGAUGAUGGUGAAAUUUUGGAGAAGAUGAGAGAGAGAGAUUAAAGAAAUUAGAGAGACACUUGCUUGUGUGGCAUG
Molecule: long non-coding RNA, 2125 nt
Organism: Nematostella vectensis (starlet sea anemone)
Lineage: Eukaryota; Metazoa; Cnidaria; Anthozoa; Actiniaria; Edwardsiidae
Exons: 3
Source: RefSeq, a predicted model, not a curated record